AACCGGAGAAGUGCAUCGGAAACUGGAUAACUUGAGUGCAGAAGAGGGUAGUGGAACUCCAUGUGUAGCGGUGGAAUGCGUAGAUAUAUGGAAGAACACCAGUGGCGAAGGCGGCUACCUGGUCUGCAACUGACGCUGAGACUCGAAAGCAUGGGUAGCGAACAGGAUUAGAUACCCUGGUAGUCCAUGCCGUAAACGAUGAGUGCUAGGUGUUGGAGGGUUUCCGCCCUUCAGUGCCGGAGCUAACGCAUUAAGCACUCCGCCUGGGGAGUACGACCGCAAGGUUGAAACUCAAAGGAAUUGACGGGGGCCCGCACAAGCGGUGGAGCAUGUGGUUUAAUUCGAAGCUACGCGAAGAACCUUACCAGGUCUUGACAUCUUGCGCCAACCCUAGAGAUAGGGCGUUUCCUUCGGGAACGCAAUGACAGGUGGUGCAUGGUCGUCGUCAGCUCGUGUCGUGAGAUGUUGGGUUAAGUCCCGCAACGAGCGCAACCCUUGUUACUAGUUGCCAGCAUUAAGUUGGGCACUCUAGUGAGACUGCCGGUGACAAACCGGAGGAAGGUGGGGACGACGUCAGAUCAUCAUGCCCCUUAUGACCUGGGCUACACACGUGCUACAAUGGACGGUACAACGAGUCGCGAACUCGCGAGGGCAAGCAAAUCUCUUAAAACCGUUCUCAGUUCGGACUGCAGGCUGCAACUCGCCUGCACGAAGUCGGAAUCGCUAGUAAUCGCGGAUCAGCAUGCCGCGGUGAAUACGUUCCCGGGCCUUGUACACACCGCCCGUCACACCAUGAGAGUUUGUAACACCCAAAGUCGGUGGGGUAACCUUUUAGGAGCCAGCCGCCUAAGGUGGGACAGAUGAUUAGGGUGAAGUC
Molecule: ribosomal RNA, 877 nt
Filed under: Limosilactobacillus fermentum
Lineage: Bacteria; Bacillati; Bacillota; Bacilli; Lactobacillales; Lactobacillaceae
Description: bacterial SSU rRNA
Rfam family: Bacterial small subunit ribosomal RNA
Source: RNAcentral